UGGGGAAUAUUGCACAAUGGGCGGAAGCCUGAUGCAGCAACGCCGCGUGCGGGAUGACGGCCUUCGGGUUGUAAACCGCUUUCGCCUGUGACGAAGCGUGAGUGACGGUAAUGGGUAAAGAAGCACCGGCUAACUACGUGCCAGCAGCCGCGGUGAUACGUAGGGUGCGAGCGUUGUCCGGAUUUAUUGGGCGUAAAGGGCUCGUAGGUGGUUGAUCGCGUCGGAAGUGUAAUCUUGGGGCUUAACCCUGAGCGUGCUUUCGAUACGGGUUGACUUGAGGAAGGUAGGGGAGAAUGGAAUUCCUGGUGGAGCGGUGGAAUGCGCAGAUAUCAGGAGGAACACCAGUGGCGAAGGCGGUUCUCUGGGCCUUUCCUGACGCUGAGGAGCGAAAGCGUAGGGAGCGAACA
Molecule: ribosomal RNA, 407 nt
Filed under: uncultured bacterium
Lineage: Bacteria
Description: partial 16S ribosomal RNA
Rfam family: Bacterial small subunit ribosomal RNA
Source: RNAcentral